CGCGUGCGCAGCGCAAGGGCGAGCCCGUCUGGUUCUCAAGCUGCCGGACCUCCCGCCCGCUCCCCAGGCCAGGGAAAGCUGAGGCCCGAGGUCCUUCAGACCACCUUUUCCCACCCUAGCCUGAGGUCUGAGUACGAACCUGGCCCCAUCUGGCUCCUAUCCCUGAACUGCCUGUUGGUUUACACAUGGUGGGUUUCCUUUCUGUAAUCUCUGCAAUGGGCUUCAGACAAUGACCCUUACAGAAAAUCAAGGUUAGCAGUCUGGUCCAGGUGUGGCCAAUGCCUGAUGACUCGGGCUGCCCUGUGAUAACCAGGAGUGACUUGUCAGAGAAGGCCACGCUCUGGGAGCACAGCGUCCCCUACCACACCUGGCGUGCCAGCAUGAGACAGGACCCCUGAGGUGGGCAGGUGGGCACUUCAAAUGGAGCCAGCCCGCUGCAGGACAGUGACAUACUCAAAAUUUUAAUGGCUCAUUUGAGGGGCAGGGGCCUGGUCAUCCAUAUCUCCUCAUCUUUAUCUCACAGCCUAAAAAUAGCUGGAUUCAGCAGUUGUGAAAUAGCCACGUGGGGCAUACAUCUCCCAGAUGUCUUCUAGGAGAACUGGAGCACCAGAGGGCCCAGCACAGGGCCCAGAGAGCUGGGAUGGGUUGCCUGCCUUAACCAGAGGACCCCGCACUUCACUUCCCAAGAUACCCAGCCAGCCUCAGCCCUGAGACAGGGAGCCGGGUCCCAAGGUCAGACCUCAGGGGGUGCCCCAAGGACCACAGGAAGUCUAGUUUAUGUCUGUGUGCGGAUUGAUUCCCAGGGAGUAGGCCCUGCAGCACUCUGUCUUGGGGACACCCAAAACACAGUUGAAAUGCCAGAGAUUCCUGGAUUUAAUACAGUUCCUGGACUUCGGAGCUUGGACCUGCACACUCUUAAGACUCCUUCCAGGGCUGCGGAUUUAGCUCAGUGGUUCUGCCGCCUGCCUCACAAGUGCAAGGACCCGAGUUUGAUCCUCGGUACCAAAAAAAAAAAGAGAACACUCCUUCCAAAAGGGCCCCGCGAGGAGCUGUGUAAAUCACAGUGCUGGCCCAUCCCAGGC
Molecule: long non-coding RNA, 1082 nt
Filed under: Heterocephalus glaber (naked mole-rat)
Lineage: Eukaryota; Metazoa; Chordata; Mammalia; Rodentia; Bathyergidae
Description: lncRNA (ENSHGLG00100050013.1)
Source: RNAcentral